UUGAGAGCGGCGUACGGGUGCGGAACACGUGUGCAACUGCUUUAUCUGGGGGGUAGCCUUUCGAAAGGAAGAUUAAUACCCCAUAAUAUGUUGAAUGGCAUCAUUCGACAUUGAAAACUCCGGUGGAUAGAGAUGGGCACGCGCAAGAUUAGCUAGUUGGUGAGGUAAAGGCUCACCAAGGCGACGAUCAGUAGCGGGUCUGAGAGGAUGAUCCGCACACUGGGACUGAGACACGGCCAGACUCCUACGGGAGGCAGCAGUGGGGAAUUUUGGACAAUGGACGAAAGCCUGAUCCAGCCAUGCCGCGUGUCUGAAGAAGGCCUUCGGGUUGUAAAGGACUUUUCGUCAGGGAGCAAAACUUACUGGUUAAUACCCGGUGAGGCUGAGAGUACCUGAAGAAUAAGCACCGGUAACUACGUGCCAGCAGCCGCGGUAAUACGUAGGGUGCAAGCGUUAAUCGGAAUUACUGGGCGUAAAGCGUGCGCAGGCGGACUUUUAAGCCAGAUGUGAAAAGCCCCGAGCUUAACUUGGGAAUUGCGUUUGGAACUGGGAGUCUAGAAGUCUGUCAAGGGGGGAUGGAAUUCAACGUGUUACAGUUGG
RNAcentral lists this ribosomal RNA (600 nucleotides) under uncultured bacterium. Its description in RNAcentral is "bacterial SSU rRNA". It matches the Rfam family "Bacterial small subunit ribosomal RNA", at positions 89 to 685 of the family's 1533-position model. The record is from RNAcentral.